RNAcentral lists this long non-coding RNA (1698 nucleotides) under Triticum aestivum (bread wheat). RNAcentral's name for it is "long non-coding RNA (TAES_LNC002639)". The record is from RNAcentral. Lineage: Eukaryota; Viridiplantae; Streptophyta; Magnoliopsida; Poales; Poaceae.
GCGUAAUUCCACUAAACUGCAAGAGGUGUCAAAUAUGUCCAUUUUUAAUUUUUGCAUCUGCUUUACUCAUUAAUAUAGUGCACUAAUUAUAUUUGGUGCUGUGUAGGAAAUGAUGGCAGCAAACUGUUAGCUACAACUAUCUGUGCAAGAGGUUUCGUGGUAGGAAAUUGUUGCCCUUGUGGUCCAUUUUUCAAGUAUUAAUUUAUACAAGUAUUUCAUUUUCCACGAUCUUGCCGAUCCGUCCCCUGCGAUGCCUCAACCUCCUCGUAGCCCUGCACAUGUAAGCAACAGAGUGCAUUUUUGUGAUUGUUUUCCUUCUUCAGUUGAUAAUUUUGAAGCACCUGAAUGAGUCUUUUUUCUUUGUUGUGUUUUUCUGCUGGUUCACUUUGUUGGUCUCAAAAUGAAACUCCACUUUUGAUGCCCAACUGAAAUUUCUGAAAGCAUUACUAGUCAUUAUCUUGUUCAUGAUUUAUUUUCUUGUUGCAAAUCCACACUCUAACAGUACUUCAAAAUCAACAAUACUGCUCUAGCGUACAUGCCUGGAGUGAUCUUACCAAUUCAAUGAAUCCUGAUACAUGUAACUAUAGUGCAUGUGAACUUUAAUUAUAGAUAUACACUUUUAUUUUGAUUCGAUGAUUCUUAACUGCAAGCAAGUUCGAUGCCCUGCGUCAGUGGUAACGAUGUCCUAUCUUUGCGGAGGACUCAUGUUGUGAUUUUCCAUCUUUGCUGAUGCUCUAUCUUCAAACGCUCCUGUUCGGUGACAUUUAUUUGGCUGAUGAUUCUGAUUGUACUGUGGCCGACCUGUGGCUGUCACUACAAAUUUUUCAAUUGUUUUUGGAGUCUGAUGGUUGCACCUGUGCUGCCAUCCGAGAAAUCACACUGCUUGUGCACUUGUGCUUGCAUUCUACUAAAAUGAAACCAAGGGGUGUGCCCCUUAUCUCUAAGAAAAGAAUAUGAUUCUUGAAUUGAUCUAUAACAGGUUCAGGUUAGCUAUACUCCUCUUGUUUUGAAUUUUUAUGUACCAUAUGCUUGCAGAAAUGAAGAACAGGCAUUAAGAUCAAAAUCUUGUACACAAAUCCUUUUUUAAUGGUAGCAAGUAAGAACAUUUUUAUUUUGUUAUCAGCACUUGCCAAUGAUUUUAGGAGUAAGAGCCAUGAUCUAGCAUGCAAAUCUUAAGUAGUAUCGUUCACAAGGCCUUUAGCAUAAAUUAAACUUUAUCCAACUAGAUAAUUUUGUUGACCUUUUGUCUUGGAUAUGCACUUGAAAAUAGUUGAUGUUCCUAUUUUUUCAGGUAUUCUUGUCUACAUGUUCAGGUGCAAGCUCAUCUCUAGAGAAAAUAAAUUGUUGUACAAGCUAGUGUUGAAGUUGCAUCCACUUUUGCCUUGUUCUGCAGCCCAAGGUAUCUUCAGAUGAUGAUUGGAGCCGGAUGGCGCUCAAGCUAUUGCGUAAGCUAGGAUAUAUUGGAAUUUGAAAGUUCUGUGUUGUAAUGCAUCUCUUCUAGUAAAGCGGUUGAUUUAUGUUUGGACAUACAAAAGUGAGAUACAAGAGUUGUAGAACAAAGCUAUCCUUAUAAAAGUGAGAUACAAGAGUUCUGGAGUUUUUACAGUACAUAUCCUAAUUUGAUAAUCAGCCUAACUACUUUAGUACAACUUCUGCAAGACAAUUGUAGCCUAGACACUAAUUUAACUGGAAACCGCG